GCCCAGAUGGCGGAAUUGGCAGACGCGCGACACUUAAAAUGUCGUGAGGGUAAUACCUCGUGUGGGUUCGACCCCCUCUCUGGGCA
Molecule: transfer RNA, 86 nt
Filed under: Candidatus Beckwithbacteria bacterium RBG_13_42_9
Lineage: Bacteria; Candidatus Beckwithiibacteriota
Description: tRNA-Leu
Rfam family: tRNA
About the family: Transfer RNA (tRNA) molecules are approximately 80 nucleotides in length. Their secondary structure includes four short double-helical elements and three loops (D, anti-codon, and T loops). Further hydrogen bonds mediate the characteristic L-shaped molecular structure. tRNAs have two regions of fundamental functional importance: the anti-codon, which is responsible for specific mRNA codon recognition, and the 3' end, to which the tRNAs corresponding amino acid is attached (by aminoacyl-tRNA synthetases). tRNAs cope with the degeneracy of the genetic code in two manners: having more than one tRNA (with a specific anti-codon) for a particular amino acid; and 'wobble' base-pairing, i.e. permitting non-standard base-pairing at the 3rd anti-codon position.
Source: RNAcentral